Molecule: unclassified non-coding RNA, 250 nt
Organism: Cricetulus griseus (Chinese hamster)
Lineage: Eukaryota; Metazoa; Chordata; Mammalia; Rodentia; Cricetidae
Gene: 7SK
Rfam family: 7SK RNA
About the family: 7SK was discovered as an abundant small nuclear RNA in the mid-70s but a possible function has only recently been suggested.
Source: Ensembl
GGCUAUGAAGGCAGUUUGGCAGUGACAUCUGUUAACAGGGUUACUUUGGCUGAUCUGAUUGCUAGGCACCUGUCCCUUUCCUCACCACUCCUUUCUCAGUCUUGAGCUGAGAUCUGUCACAGAGAAGAUCUUUCCGAAGAGAGGACAACCUGCCUUCUGUCAAGGUUACACAAGCAGCUGCUCUCACCCCUCCUGGCUGGAGCUUCCAAACAAGCUCUUCAGAUUAGAGGACUAGAACUAGUUAUUAAUA